AAAAAAGGAGCAGGUAUUAGGCACAACCCUACGUUUGCCCAUGACACCUUGCUUAGCCACACCCCCAUGGGAAUUCAGCAGUAAUAAACAUUAAGCAAUAAGUGCAAACUUGACUUAGUUAAAACCAAGAGAGCCGGUUAAACUCGUGCCAGCCGCCGCGGUUAUACGAGAGGCUCGAGUUGACAAAUACCGGCGUAAAAUGUGGCUAAUUUAUAGUAUUACUAAAGUUAAACAUCUUCAAAACUGUUAUACGCACUCGAAGACAGGAAGCCCUGCCACGAAAGUGACUUUAAAAAUAUUAGCCCACGAAAGCUAGGGAACAAACUGGGAUUAGAUACCCCACUAUGCCUAGCCUUAAACAAAAGCAAGCCCCCUACACCCCUUGCUUGCCAGGGAACUACGAGCCCCAGCUUAAAACCCAAAGGACUUGGCGGUGCUUUAGUCCCACCUAGAGGAGCCUGUUCUAGAACCGAUAAUCCCCGUUCAACCUCACCCUCCCUUGUUUAUUCC
RNAcentral lists this ribosomal RNA (510 nucleotides) under Pseudogobius masago. RNAcentral describes it as "partial 12S rRNA". It matches the Rfam family "Bacterial small subunit ribosomal RNA", at positions 312 to 991 of the family's 1533-position model. The record is from RNAcentral. Lineage: Eukaryota; Metazoa; Chordata; Actinopteri; Gobiiformes; Gobiidae.